RNAcentral lists this ribosomal RNA (322 nucleotides) under uncultured eukaryote. RNAcentral describes it as "partial 18S ribosomal RNA". It matches the Rfam family "Eukaryotic small subunit ribosomal RNA", at positions 1470 to 1796 of the family's 1831-position model. The record is from RNAcentral.
CCCUUAGAUGUUCUGGGCCGCACGCGUGCUACACUGAGUGGAUCAGCGGGUCAGGUUGCGCGAAAGCGCUUCCUAAUCUUUAAAUCCGCUCGUGAUGGGGAUUGACGGUUGCAAUUUUCUGUCAUGAACGAGGAAUACCUUGUAAGCGCGGGUCAUCAUCCCGCGCUGAAUACGUCCCUGCCCUUUGUACACACCGCCCGUCGCUCCUACCGAUUGAGUGGUCCGGUGAGGCUUUGGGAUCUGAGCGGAAAGAGCGUUUCGCUGUUUCUGCUCGGAAAACUCAGUCGAACCUUAUCAUUUAGAGGAAGGAGAAGUCGUAACA